RNAcentral lists this unclassified non-coding RNA (272 nucleotides) under Hevea brasiliensis (rubber tree). Lineage: Eukaryota; Viridiplantae; Streptophyta; Magnoliopsida; Malpighiales; Euphorbiaceae. The record is from RNAcentral.
GGGAGUUGGGUUUUCAGUUUUAUGUGAUAAUUUUUCUUUUCUGCUUGGCUGCUGAGAAAGAGAUAGAAGCUUUAAUUUAGUUGAGUUUUUUAAUUGAAAGAGUAUAACUUUUUGAUUGGAUUGGUUGUGGAGUUGCAAUCUGGGAAAUAGUUUUUUUUUUAAGAGUUGGAAAAUCAGAAACUAUUGACAUUCAUAGCUUUGCUUUGGACGUCUCUGAACCACUGCAAGUCUGCAAUGAAGAUGGUGGAGAUAAGCUUUUCAAGAUAGAUUUA